Mustela lutreola (European mink) is the source of this 1921-nucleotide long non-coding RNA. RefSeq lists it as uncharacterized. NCBI's taxonomy places the organism in Eukaryota, Metazoa, Chordata, Mammalia, Carnivora, Mustelidae. The record is from RefSeq and is a predicted model, not a curated record. The transcript is spliced from 3 exons.
GCAGAUUCAGCCACAGAGUGGGUCCUCGGCAAAUGUGACUGACUUUCCAUCUCAAGGUGUUGCCCCGCACUGCACCCACACCUUUUCUCCAGUGCUUCUCUGGAAUUCAACAAUAUGAUGACAUCUUCCCGAGCUGGCCACGCUUCUGCCUCUGCAUCUUGUCUCAGUAGGCACACGAUGUCUGUAUCGGUGAGCUCCACGAGGUACGUCAAGGAUGCAAUCGCCUGAAACGGGGGUUUCUGCCAGGAUCACUGUGGAAAACAAGAAGCAAAAAAGCCUUCCAUCUCUCAGUACUUGUUAGAACAAAACCACAAUGAUACCACUAUUUAUUAUGUUUUGGUGACUCAAGAUUUUGUCAAAUCCUCUAGAUUUUUAAAUGUGUAUACUAAUGCUGUUUUUAGAAAGUACAAUCUGCAAUUUGGAUACAAAUCCUCACUUUCAAAGCUUCAGAUGAUGGCCCCCAUCGUAAACACAAUGAGGAGCUGUGCCCAUGUUUUGCCCCUACUGCAUGCAAACCGCCUUAAGGGCAAGGAUGCUCAUUCUUUGAGGGGCCUGGCCUCGCUGGUCUGGUCGGAGGAAACCAGGCAGGCCUUUGAGGGGACAUCUUUUUCCUGCUGCUGUUUCCUUUCAUCCUUUUACUGAGCCAUCAGGAGAGGAAGCGAGCAAGCUUACCUCGAAGUUUGGGUUUGAGCUUUCCUCUUGAACUACCAAGUCACAGUGACUUUUGGAGUUUUGUCGUCCAUGGAAUGGGUAACAUUUGAAUAAUGACAUUUUCCUCGCUGGGCUAUUGGGGAGUUAAGUGAGAUAAUGUAUGCCUGAAGACACCCAAUUCACUGCAGAAAAUGGAGGGAGUGCAGCUUGAACGAGCUGGUUCUUUUCCUAAAUCCUUCAUCCUGGGACAUGCAAGCCAGCUUCUCCUGCCUCGAUGGGGAAGCCCUGGAUCUCUGGGAGCCUAUUAGCUGAGCCAAGUGGAGAGUUAAACAUCCAAAGUGACAAGGGGGUGCAGAGCUAUUUCAGAGCACCCCACUGCCCCAGCAGAUGGUUCUGGGCCAGAUGGCUCCAGCGCAGGGGGCAAGGGGGAGGCAGCCAGGUGUUUAUUGUGGCAGCAGAGAUGUGAAAGGAAGAGUUCACUUGUCCACCUCCUUGCUCUCCCUCGGAUUUCUACUCCAGAGGGGCCACUGCCCAGCCCUGACAGAUGUGCAGUCUGGGAAGGUUUCCAGGUGCAGUGUUGGUGACACCCGAGCUUUAAUAAUCUCCAAUGCCGAAUUGUUCACUCUGUGACCCUGUCAUUUGGAGAAUACAUUGGACGUUGGCGGAGUCACCAUACAGCACCUCAUUAGUUUUUGAACUCUUCAAAGAGAGCCAAACAGCCAUGAAAUUCAAACCUGUCUGCUCCCACAAGACACUUUCUUCCCUUGGAGCUGACAGAGAGCCCAAAGAGCGGGCGGAUCCCAGGGCGGGAAAAUCGGAAAGUCACUGUGCCUCACAGAGCAGGCAGCUUCUCCAGUCAUGACUGCUACGCUGCUCGAAAGAAGGGUUCAGGGAACCUGCCUUUGCGAUUGGUUGACACCUGCACAACGUUCAGUCAAUGCGGCAAUUGUAGCAACCAGCACCAGAAAUGUCAGCUCUCAUUAGCCGGCAUAUAAAUCUGCCUCCCUGAGAAGUGGGAUGAGAGAACCACAGAGAAAAUGCCAGGAAGCAGGAACAUAUGUUGAUCACACAAAGAGAAGCUCCGACAAUGGGUGUCUUCCUCCACAGCCCAGGCACCUGGAACAGGAAGGCUUUGUUUUGCCUCAGCCCUCGGUGCCCCCGUAACAGGAGGCUGGGCAAUGUGUUCCACCACCCGGGGUGGGAGGUUCUGCUAAGUGUUUGCUGACACAGCUGAACAGUCGUAAAAUGUCAUAAAGAGUAAAUGACUUGA